Molecule: ribosomal RNA, 497 nt
Filed under: uncultured bacterium
Lineage: Bacteria
Description: partial 16S ribosomal RNA
Rfam family: Bacterial small subunit ribosomal RNA
Source: RNAcentral
GAUGAACGCUGGCGGCGUGCCUAAUACAUGCAAGUCGAGCGAACAGACGAGGAGCUUGCUCCUCUGACGUUAGCGGCGGACGGGUGAGUAACACGUGGAUAACCUACCUAUAAGACUGGGAUAACUUCGGGAAACCGGAGCUAAUACCGGAUAAUAUAUUGAACCGCAUGGUUCAAUAGUGAAAGACGGUUUUGCUGUCACUUAUAGAUGGAUCCGCGCCGCAUUAGCUAGUUGGUAAGGUAACGGCUUACCAAGGCAACGAUGCGUAGCCGACCUGAGAGGGGGAGCGGCCACUCGGGAACUGAGACGCGGUCCAGACUCCUACGGGAGGCAGCAGGAGGGAAUCUUCCGCAAUGGGCGAAAUCCUGACGGAGCAACUCCGCGUGAGUGAUGAAGGUCUUCGGAUCGUAAAACUCUGUUAUUAGGGAAGAACAAAUGUGUAAGUAACGAUGCACGUCUUGACGGUACCUAAUCAGAAAGCCACGGCUAACUACGUG